Long non-coding RNA from Rhagoletis pomonella (apple maggot), 859 nucleotides. RefSeq lists it as uncharacterized. Lineage: Eukaryota; Metazoa; Arthropoda; Insecta; Diptera; Tephritidae. The transcript has 2 exons. The record is from RefSeq and is a predicted model, not a curated record.
CUUCGUUUACGCCGUAUGCGUUGUCGGCUUCUUGGUCGUUGCCGCCGCCUUAGACGUAUCGCCUUCAGCGAAUUGGUGCCGCGCUUUGACGAGUUUCAAUCGACUAUAAGACUAUGGCAUUCAACGUCCUAUUGCCGUCUAAACUAUUUGUUUAUUGUUCUUUUUUUUUAAUUAAAAAUUCGGUAUUUACUCAAAGGAAUUACUUAGGUACGUGAAAAAUUUAACGCGACGCCGCCAUUGCCACAGCCGUUCAACAAUAUACUGAAACGUGGAUCAUUUUGAUGCACCGUUCCGACUUAGUGACUACGAGUAAGCUCGAAUACAGAACGAAAACAUCGCGACGCGGCAUAAUCCAUGACAAUUGACAGUGAUGACAACAAUUGGGGCUGCUACUCUUAUUUGUUAGUGUGCAGCUACCGAAUUGCCGCAAGUCGCAUGAAAAGCGUGACAAACGGAAAGCGCUAUUUGUUGACGCGUUGCGAGUGUAAAUUGUGCCUGCCACAGCGGCUGCUCGUACAGAUCAUCGCUGGGGUCGCAGAGAAGCUGCGAUCAAAUGCGCAAACACCCACCCACCUUACAGCGCAACAUACUACCCAGGAGCUUUAUUUUUGGCUUAAUUAUUAUCGUAUUUGUAUAUAUGUAAGUAAGUACGUAUAUAUGUAUGCAUAUCGUAUAUAUUUAUAUGUACUUGCAUGCAUGUAUAGAUCUACGUUAAUGUGGGUACAUCAGACGCCAAUUUUCAUAUUUAGGUAUGCGUGCCUUAUUCAGCCAAGGCGGCGUAAGUCAGCGCUAAAAUUCAGGUAGAAUUCAUUUGGUUGAAAAUUUGAAGCGAGAAAAUAAAUGGUUGAGUUAAAACCAA